This 1203-nucleotide small RNA is filed under the name Pongo abelii (Sumatran orangutan). Its description in RNAcentral is "retained intron". The record is from RNAcentral. Lineage: Eukaryota; Metazoa; Chordata; Mammalia; Primates; Hominidae.
CGAUGUUUGAGCCCCAGCGUAGAUCAGCACGCCAGGAAGCAGCCCGCCGGACCCACCCCGAUCAUGGCUCUGGACAUUGCUUUCCAUGCUUUUCUCAGGCUGGUUUCUGCCUGCCUCAACCCUGGCCAUGGCUGACAAGGGGCACGGGGGCACUGAAGCAGAGAGACCUGCUGGUCCUUGGGGUUUCUUGCAAGGCAGGACUCUACAUCCUCCCUUGGGGACUAAUUGAUCUGUCAGUAAAAUUUAAACUUCUGAUUCCAUGGGUCUGUGAAUCAGCUGCCUCUAAAGGGAAAUAUCCCAGAAGUGAUGAAAACUUGAAGGGUGAGGAUUGGAUAUAAGCUCAGAGGUGAAGGAGGGAAAUUCCUCGGGUCAACUUUAGCGGACUGAUCCACGGGGUCUGCCAAGAGACAGGAGCUCGGGGGUUAAACCCAAGCACUCUGGAGUCAGAUGUAUGAAUCUGAAUCUCAGCCUCUCAGCUUGCUGUGUAAUCUCAGGCAAGUGACUUUUCUGUUCUGUAAAUCAGGCUGAUAGCGGGGGAACCUCUCUCACAGGGCUGCUACAAAGAUUGCUUGAGAUCUUGCUCAACAAAUAUUAGCUGUUGGCUCCAGAGUUUAAUACCUCUGAUCACUACAAGCUUUGAAGGCAAGAUAAAAUAACUUCAACAUAGUGAAUCAUCUGUGAACACUUCCUGUGAAUGUGUGACUAUGAUUAUGGAGCACUCUGUUGCAUCAAGAUGGCCAGAGAUUGUCUCAGAGUCCGGGCAGUGGGAGGAGGGGGGAUUUGUUUCCUGGCUGGGUGGUCGUAGGGCAUCAAGGGAUGAGCAGCCUUGGUUGUCUGGGAUUUCAGCAGCUCGAGGGGAGCUGUAGGGCCCCAGAGCUGUCACUGUGGCUGUGGUGUCAGAAAUGUAAGCAAGGUGCCUCCAUGGAGGUUAGCUAGGGUGCCCCUCUGAAUGCAGGGCGGAAUGCAACCUUUCUCAUGGAGGAGGCCCUCAGCAGCUGACCUCUGUCCUCCCUGUGUAGAGGGAGGGAGGCUGAGGCUGGGGCUGAGCGAGGGGUAAAGUAAGCCACAUGUCUCAUCAGCUAGCCAGCAGCAAGCACAGCCCUCUGGGAGGGCUGGUUCUAUCCUCCUCCCUGGUGUGAAAUCCAUCAAUCUAAUAGGGAUCCUUAUUUUCCCAGCCACCAAGUCACAAUGAGCAAUAAUCUC